Phyllopteryx taeniolatus (common seadragon) is the source of this 10644-nucleotide long non-coding RNA. RefSeq lists it as uncharacterized. The transcript is spliced from 13 exons. The record is from RefSeq and is a predicted model, not a curated record. NCBI's taxonomy places the organism in Eukaryota, Metazoa, Chordata, Actinopteri, Syngnathiformes, Syngnathidae.
AAUUUGUAUUCUAACUAGAACAGAAUGUAAAACCUCAUUGGAGUAAUUCACUUAAGCCCACAAUAAAGACUAUUUUGUUGGAGAAGUAAUGCACUGUGAUACUGUAGGCUGCAUAUUCUGAGGGUUAGCGUUGUUUUUGAUGAAUAGAUUCCAUCCAUCCAUUUUCUAUAGCGCUCGUCCUCAUUAGGUGCACGGGUGAGCUGGAGCCGACUUUAGCCAAGAGAUGGUGCACACCCUGGACUGGUUGCCAGCCCAUCACAGUGAUCAAUAGAUUAUAUGAAUAUAUUAUACCCAAAUGCGAAUAGUUUUCAAGUUAUACAAAAAUACAGGAGUAUUUUGGGCAGCAUAAUUUUCUGUAAAAAUAAUGUAUUUCUUAUUCUCAUUCUCAAAGUCAUUUUCAGUCUACUUCAGCUAAAACCCAAUGUAAAACCCUAAGUGGAGUAAAUCACAGUGAUGAGGGACUAAAAUCUUUUCACUUUACCGUCAGUUGAUUCCUUUUUUAAGUUUUUAUUUUGGUGGCAUUAUUGCUACUGUUCGGAUGUGAUGCGAUCAAAUACAGUUGUGUAAUAGAGAGUGUCACAUUUAGAGAAAUUUCUUCCUACAUUCUGAUGACUUCAUGUUGCAGUAUGACAUCACAAGUAUUUAUUUCCUUAUGUUUGCAUAAGCAUUUAUCAGUGGACAUUUUCAGCUUACACUCCUGCAAAAUUAAUGAUGAAUGGGCUUUUAGUUAUUUAUAAAUGCUGCGUCUGAAAAGUAUUCACAGGGCUUUACUUUUUCCGCAUUUUGCUAUUAUAGCUUUAUUCCAAAAUGGAAUAAAUAUUUUUUCCUUUAAAAUUAUUUCCUUCAAAAGAAUGUCUUUUUGUUUUUGUUUUUUGCAAAUGUAUAAAGAAUUCGGGGGGAAAAAACUUCAUAUAUGAAUUUCAUAGCCUUUGCACAAUACUUUGGUUUAUGCACAUUUGGCAGCAAUAGCAGCCUUAACACUAACUAGAAUGUCACAAAUUUGGAAGUUUUGACCCUUCCACUUUGCAGCACCUCUCGAGCGCUAUCAGAUUGGAUGGGGAGCAUCCAUGCACAACCAUUUCCAGAGCUCUCAAGAGAUGCUUAAAAAAAUGAUCUAUUCAUUUUGGAACAUGGCAGUAAGACAACAAAAUGUGGAUAAAGUGCUGUGAAAACUUUCCAUAUGCUCCGUAACUAAUAAGCACCUGACUUGUCUACAUUGUGUGGUUCCUACAGUAAAUCGGAGUCUUACUUUGAAACAGACAUGGUGAUGCAAUGGAUGGCAGCCAGGACAGAAAUAUCCUGUCACCUAUGUCGCCACUGAUGCAAAGCCGGUGGCAGAAAUGACACAUUAUAAAGGCCUUUCAAAAGCUGUAAAGGUAAGAGAGGUGGUCAGCCAGACAGCUUGAAUAGAGUCUGUCCAAUAAUUCAAUUCGGAGUUCUCUGUGGGUCACAACCGGAUUAUUUAAACAAAACAAAAAAACACCUCCACAAGAAUGAAAUGUAAGUUCAGAAACGAUUUUUCAUUUCACUCUUUUUUUUUUUUUUUUUAUCUGAGAAUUGAAAAGGAGCAGACUCUGAGUGGGAGGUUAUAACCUGAAGAUUCAAAUUUCCAAUUUUCACUGACUUUAUGUUGCAUGUACAGUGGAUGGAUUGCAAGUUCUGAGUUGUUUCCAAAGCCCCCCUGCAGCAUUCCGAUUCUCAAUUUUUGCCUUCCCCUCCCCUAGUCACACCUAUUACACUGACAGUAUGCUGUUAUUCUCUUGUGCUUUUGUAUCGAGUUGUGUUACACAUGUAAGAACUCACUCCAGGUGUCUCUCUCACACCCCUCUGUACAACACAAUGCACCACAAACUACAACCUGCAUUCGUAUAUACAAAAAAAAGUGCGGUAUAUUAUCAAAUUUUUUUUCAACCUGAUUGAAUGCCCUCAUUUUAUUUUUUAUGUUAUUCCUAGUCUUUGAUUUUUACGCCUGACAAUUGAGACGGCUGGAUUUCUCUUUAGUAUUCGAUAUGUACAUGAGCUUUGCUCUGAUUGGAUCACUGUUCUUCUUAAUUUAAAUAUGAAAAACAGCUUUGCUCUGAUUGGUCCUUUGCGAUAUCACGGCAUCUUGUGGCUUGUGGUGGUCAAUGGUUCAUAGCGACGUCGCGUUUGGAUCCUUUAUGUGGUCUCCUAGUAUCAUUGUGAAGCAGAAUUCGCCAAGCGUUGGAUUGUUGGCCCACUAACAGGGAAUGUGAGCUGAAAGGGGGUGUGGGUGCAAAUAAAAAGAGAGGGGGAUAUUUUGAGGUUGGGCUCGUCUUCAGCUCCCAUUCACUUAAAAAUAACCGGAGCACGACGUUCAACGCUCGCAUACAUUUUGGCGACAAUGACAGCAUGAUUUGCUUUUUGGAUAUUCUUCCGCAUGCAUCACAAAAUAGUUGACAGGAAUUUUGGCCCAUUCUUCCUGACAGAACAGGUGUAACCAAGCCAGGUUUGUAGGCCGCCUUGCUCGCACAUGCCUUUACAGGUCUGCCAAUAAAUGUUCAAAAGGAUUGAGAUCAGGGCUUUGCAACGGCCACAGCAAAAAAUCCACUUUGUUAUCCUUACGCCACUUUGUAACCAGUUUGGCAUUAUGUUAUUGGGUCAUUGUCACUUUGGAAAAGCCAGUUGCAUCCAAGCUUUAACUUCUUGGGUGAUGUCUUGAGCUGUUGCUUCAGUGUUUCCGAGAUAAUGUUAUUUGCUCAUCUAUUUCGUACCAGGCCCUCCUGCAACAAACAACACCACAACAUGCUGCUGCCACCCCUAUAUUUCAAAGUUGGGAUGCUGUCUCAUGCUUACAAGCUUCCCUCUUUUUGCUUCAAACAUAACGAUGCUCAUUAUGACCACACAGUUCAACUUUAGUGUCGUCAGACCACAGGACAUAUCUCCAAAAAUGAAGGUUACUGUCCCUGUGUGCAUUUGCAAACUUUAAUCUGUCUUUUUCUGCACGGUUUCUUUUAGAGUAAUGGCUUCUUCCUAGCAGAUUGCCCUUUCAGCCCAUGUCGGUACAGUACUUAUUUCACUGUGGCGAAUGGCACACACUUACCAGCUUCAGGCAGCAUCUUCCCAAGGUUUUUUGCUUUUGUUCUUGGAUUGAUAUACACAUUUUGGACCAGAUAACCCAUCUCCUUCCUGAGCUGUAUGCUAGCUGGGCAUUCUCACAGUAUGUAUACUUGUAUUUAAUUGUUUGAACAGAUUAACGUGGUACCUUCUUCCUGAUAUCUUGGCUGAUUUUGUUUGACUUGCCCAGCGAUGUUACACAAAGAAGUUGAACCUGUGUUUCAGGUAUGCCUAUUUCAGUACAUCCACAGGUGUGUGUCUAAUUAACUCAAAUGUUGUUAAUAAACCUGUCAAAAGCGUUCAAAGAUAUAACAUCGCCAUCUGGCUUUUCACAAAUAGUUUAAAGGCAUAGUAAUCUUACUCUAUGUAAAUUUAUGACUUUGAAGAAAGUAAUGAAACAUUUCCUGAUAAAAUCCUCUCAUUAUUCUGGCAUUUAGCUAGUAGAAAUAAUUUUGGACCGCGAAUACAGAAAAUCCGCAGCUAAUUGACCCCCAAUAUAAUUGCACUGAAAAGUUUUCAUUUAUGUAUUUUUAAACCCCCAAAAUUCUUGAAUCUGCGGUGCUCAACUGCCAAUGAGCUUUUGGGGGGUUGUGUGCCGCCUUAAAAAUAAACAAAACAAAAAACAAAAGCAUAUUUUAAAAUUUGAUUACAGUGUAAAUCUGUUGGCUAUGCAUGAGGAAGAACGUAAUUACAUGACCAUUGCAUUGAGAUUGCAUAUCAACAAGAUAGUCUCAGGCAUUAUUGCCGUCCCGGGUUAUUCACAGCACACAGCCCUCAUCAAUACUGUACAGUAUUUCUAUACAUUUUAUGCUUGCAUUUUUGUGUUCCUCAAAUAUGAUUAAAGUAUGUUUUGAAAGGUGUUCAUGAGUAAGUUUAAAUGUGUUUAACGCCUGUGUGAUGGGUAAAACAAUUAUUAUUAUUUUUUUUUAUUAUUUGUCUCUCUACAUCGCAGCAGAUAUUCAUUCACCUGCUGCGACUGGGUCUGGAGUCAGUAACCAUAAUCUGCAUCCGAAUGGAGUGUUGCAUGGCAGAUUGAGAUGGAGUGGAGCUGACAGGUGCACAGUCUUCCUCCAUAUCUGGCUCAAAGGAUAAGCUUGUGAACAUGCACGCUGAAGUAACACGCCCCCCAGCCUCCACUCAUUUUGGGUCUGGAUAAAGGGGAGGUCAAAGCAGCCAGAUUUCUAAUGUUCGUUGGUUGGUGUGUUUGCGUGUGUCUCGUGGUGGAAACCCUGUAGCCGCUCUUCAGUGGACCAAGAAUGGGGAGACUGUCCAAGAUGUGGGAAGAUGACAUAACUGACCAGCAGUACCCUCUACCAGAGGGUUACGCCUGCAGACAACCAGCCAGUGCUGCCUUGUGAAGGCCUCAACACGGUAGUUGAACCCGCAAAGCUGACAUGGCACGGUCAUCGAAGGCCAAGAAUUGAGUUUGAGGUGAACCUUCGGUACCCUCAGCCCAAGUCUCUGAAUUUGGAUGGAUCGUAUACUUCCUCCUAAAGAUACUUCAGGCAAUUCUACGCUUGCAACUUUGUGGGGGAAACGUUUUGGAACCACCAGCCAUAAGAAAAGGACCUCUUCUAAGACGCCCCAGCAAAAUCGUUGUGACCAUGAGCGUUGGACCUGCAUUGACUCAGCAGCUGAUUCCAUAAAGGGGGGAAAUGGUGGCAUGUCCAGCAUGGCCCAUUAGGCCUCCCAGGAGGAGGGCAGGCUAAUGCUAACGUGUGAGUUGUUCAAAGGCAUCCGCUUCUCCAAGACCUACAGCAACACACCCAAGUGUCUACUACCCACCGGAGUUCAGCCCGACCAGCGCACACAGGUCCAGGUGGUGGAGGAUGACAUGGCAACCAUCCCACUGCUCAUCACUGCCAACGCAGAGGAGGUCUCCUGCGUUUGGUUGCAGGGCAGGGAGAAGCAGGUCAAAGAUGCUCCCAGUGUUAAAGCGAAAUGAGGCCUUUUGUUAUCAACUGCUGGGGAAACGGAUGACCUGAAAUCCGUGAUGGAUGCCAACCCCAUCGCGACCGACUUCACGUGGAAAUGGCCGGGAGAAGAGGAGGUGCAGAUGGGAGAGGAGACCCAGGAAGACGAAUCAGACCUUCUCACCAUCUGUAAUGUGACUUGGGCUCAUGCUGGAAUUCACCAGUGCACAGUCUGUAAUGUCAUUGGACCCUCUGGCAGCGUCGUGGCGUCGAAAAGGCAGCAGGAAAGUAAUGUGAAAGACGAGGGCUGAGUGGAGGACCUGGACUGAGGCAAACAUGCAAUCUACAGUCGAAGUCAAAUGGCAUCGAGGUCAAACAAUUUGGAGACCAAAAUUUGAGGGGGAAAGCAAGUCUCUGAAGUCACAUGGAACUCUGGUGUUCCAUCAGUUGAGCAAGAAUCAAAGGAUUAACUGAACUCCUGUGUUCUGCUUUUUCUUUGACUUUUUACGACACCUAGUCCCCCAAAAAGUAGUAACCACAACUAGAGGUGUUAAGAGAAGAAGGAUGUGAGAAAAGAAGAAAAAGAAUAUCGUCGAACCUCAAAGACACAAUACGUUCCUUGACGCUGGACUUCAAAGUUCUUCGAGUCCAGCUAAAAUUGUUGUGUAACGCAAACGUACAAUACUUAAAAGCAACCAUUUGCUUGGUAGAAUUAUUGCAUGCACGUAUUACUCCUUAGCAUUCCUUUAUCACAAAUAGUGAUAUCUUCUGAUCUAUGGUUAUGGUCACAGAUGUCAUCUUUGUCAUCACUAUUACGACUACUGCGAUAUUUAGAUGCUCACUGAUCUAAAGUCUUGUGAGACUAGCUCGCAUCACGCAUGGUAUUAUAUUUUUCCAGUAGGUUUUGGUUCAGGUUUCACUGCAUUGCCAUCAUUUACCAUGGAAAUAUCCAUAAAAAUCAGAGGUCAACCAACCAGGAACGCAUUCUGUUAAAUGUUAACAUGGUUCCGCUGUAUUAGAUCUCUUACCUAAAACACAAAGUUCCAAAGAACAUAUCCACAUGAGGCUUUUUAUGUAAAGACAUUUCUCCGUGCAAGAUAAAAAUGUGUUCUGCAUUUUUUGGUUUGUUUGGGAUCAAGACUAGUGUGAGAAUCUCCAUGCAGGUCCAGUCGUUCAACUGUCAGCCAGCCAAAUAAGUUUGCAAGCAGAGAGAAGCUCAACGCCACAGCCCAGCGCACCCUCCUCGUUGACAUCAGACAGAGGCAGAAACAUCUAGCAGAGCUACGCUGCAGUAAGAGCAAGAGAAGAGAGGAAAGGAGGGGAUGGGGAGGGAUGACGGGCGCAGGAGGCAAUUUAGAAAAUAUGCAGAGGUGCAGAAAGGGCUGAGUGAACAGAUGAGUGGAGGAAAAAGGUGUGGUUGAGGGGUGACGCUAUCCUGCAGUGGAGAAUCCAUCUAUACUGGGGGGAAAUGGAUAGCUACACUAAUGACACCUUUAGUUGUUCACGCUGAUGGAACACAGAUCAAUAAUUCGCAGUUAGCAUUCAAAAAAUGCAUUGAUUUCUAAGGAUUGAUCAUUUUCUAUAUCCAAUAAGCCAGCAUGAAUGUUUUCACAGCUAAAUCCUCUACAACUGAGUGCUCUUAAAAAUUAUUCAAAUGACUUUGAAAAGUUCAUUUGAAACAAGAGCACAGCCAUUGUGAUUAAUACACAAACUUGAUUAGUCUAUUGAGCUUACUGUUCAGGGUGUGCAAAAGUUGAAUCAAUAAAAACAAGUUACCCCCGAGACAAAAACAACAACAACAAAAAUAUAUACAUUUGUGUUAUUUGGGAGAAAUCUAUAAGACAGCUGGAAUGGUCAUUCAUACAGGGUCACUUUGGGUCAGAGAUAUUGUGAUGCUAUCGCAUGCUUUUGUUUCCCUAAUUUCAGGAAAGUUCCCUUUAUUGUUACCGCGCCGGAGACGAGACGGUACCGCUGAGCGCACAUCCUGAGGAAACCGUGUAACAAGGAAAAGGCCAACUUUGUGUUGGGAUAACAGAAGUGUCGUGUCGGAUUAGUACAUGGAACUUGCGGUUUUCUUCAAGGAUAAGAUGAAACCUUCCGACGAGAGUAAUCAAUGCGGAGACAUCCCGCAUAGAUUCAUCCACACUGAAUAAAAGAUUUUAGCUGGUCCCGAUCCUUCACUUGACCAUCUGGGACAGGAUUGAGGGACAAGAGAGAGCGUCCCAACGUUUGGGGACUCACACUCCUCAGCCUCCCUGGGACAGCCUGAUGGAGAAGAAAGAGAAAGCCAGGAAUGUGUGGUUUGGAGAGCGACAUCACACUGGAUUCGCUGCUGAACUGGGAAUGUUUUUGCACCCCCUCUGAGCGAACCUGAGGAGGUGGCUGGAGAAAAGAAUCUUUUUCACACAGUUUCCAUGAAAUUGGCAUUAGAGCUGGAUACGUAGAGUCAGCAUUUAUCAGCCUGUGUCUUUCACACACAACCAAUCAAGCUGAAUGUGCGCACAUUCGUACAGCCAACACAGAAUCACACAUUCAGAUAAUCAGAUGCCUGAUGACGUCAGUGCCAGCGCCUGGUGUGACAUAGAGUAUAUAGCUGUGAUUGAAAUUGUGCAAUUUUACUGAAUUUGUCUGGAAAUUAUAUUUAAUAAUUACAAAUGUAUCUAUGCCAGUGACGUAUAGUGACAGGCAGAACACAGGCCAAGAUUUCAGACAGAGUCCCUGCAAGUGUAGUAAACUGAGUAAACUGAAUCAAUGUCAUCAUUGUUUCAGUGUCAUACUUUUUGUGACAGUUUUGUUUAGUGGUGUGUUUUUGUAAAAUGGUAACCUUGGCUGAAUAAAGGCUGGGAAACGUUCAUUAAGUAAUUGUUAAAAAAAAAAAAAAAAGCACGAAUGACUUCAAACACAACAAGACUGGAGCCCAACCAACGAACUGAGACAAAGACCGAACACCCCGUACCCAGAAAAGCAAUCUGGUGUAUGCGGUCAAGUGUAGUGAGGAAUGCACAGAUACAUACAUUGGGGAAACCGAACAACCACUGAGCAGACACAUGGCACAACACAGACAGGCAAACUUGUCAGGUCAUAUUUUUGGACAGGGAAGGCAGUUGUUUUGAACGACCAUCUCUUAAAGAGGAGGUGGCUUCCGACACCAUCUAUCUCCCACUUACACUGCCGUCCUUUCGUCCAUCCCAAAAAACGCAAUAAUUCUGCUUCCAACAAAUAACGCAAAAACGCUGCCUCCUUGGCUGUUUAGGCAGCUCCACUGUCACUUUAGAACUGAAUGGAAUAUUAAUAAGGGAGCUCCCACCUAAAAACUCUUGUGGACGGACAGCGGCUUCUUGCCACUCGUCUUUUUUGCAUUCCAAAAGAAUGAUACCAUCCAUUGAAAUUCUCCACGCCAACUCAGGCUAGUCUGGCCUAACUAAGCCUUGUUGCAUGAACUGAUGAAGCCUGCUCGGAUGAGAGGCAAGACGUCUUCAAAGACAACCAGAACAGUCUAGUAGCGAUCGAUUCAAUUCCCUGAAAAUCAAAUGACCUGAAUGAAUGAGAAUAUUCACAGGCAAGACAGGAGAAGUGAGUCUCAAACUUCGCACCCCUGUUCAACACUGCCCUGCAGUUUUUAUGCCUCUGAUACGACCACCUACUGUACUACUUCUCAACGUGCCUUUUUUUUUUUUUUUUACUGUGUCAUUGCUUUGCCGGUCUGUAUGAAAUCACAGAGUUAACUGUGUUACCUCAUAUUAGGCUUUCAAGAAGUAAAGCUGUGGCGGCCUGUGCAUUUGGUACCUGGGCCUUCAUUGGGGAUUUAAUUUGAUGAAUUUGAUUUGAUUUAAUACCAAACGCUAUCACACUGCAAUCAUAGAAAGCAUCGAUACUAUUCAAAAUUGCAAUAUAACAGCACGCAAUCUUCAGGAGCAGUUUGGAAUCGAUACUCAUUCCAAAUGCUUCCUUACCCACUAAAGGGUUAAACUUGACACAUCAGUAAAUCCUUUUUACCAUUUCAGCUGGAACACGGACAAACGAGCAAACAGUCCGUGUGUGUCACUUAGUAUUUGUGUCAUUUUUUGACUUCCUUUUGGCUUGUUUAGUUGCCUUUUGCUUUGCACAGUACACAGACAAAGCGAUCAGGCUCACAUUUGUCCGCGCAGGGCCAUUAUAUUUCAGCCUCUGGCUUCUGCUUUUCCCUCCAGCACAAUUCGUCACAUCAGUCACAUGAGCAAACACAUGCAGACAGCCGAGACAAUAUGCUGGAUUGGGAAAUGUCUAUCUUUCAAAUUCUUCCACAUCAAUCAGUUUGCUUAUUUUGCUUUUUUUUCUUCUUCUUGCCAUUAUUGUUGAACUAAGACGUCAUUUUCAAUUGAUUUUUUUUUUUUUAUUAUAUAAUGUGUGGCCAUCAUAGUUUUUCCUUGUCAUUAUCCGACAGGAACCUGCAUGCCACCCUAAAAGAUGAAUCUCCCUUGUUCCCCUCAGAUACAUUUUCUCAGUUGGCUCACUGCUCUCCAUCAUGAACUGUCAACGCACAUUUUGCCUCGUUACUGAACGUUUGUUUAAGUUCAAGCCGCCUGUGCCGCUGAACGCAUGGCAAGUCUAAAUGCAUCAUCAGCAACAGUCAUGGGCUAAACUGAAGGCUUGACACCUCAAUACUCUGUUUCAACGUCUACGUUUCAUUUGUGCCACGUGCACAUUUUUUAUAUGCCGCCUUGUGAAGACUCUCCCGGGAGUUUGAACAUACAAGAGAACACAAUUAAGAAAAAAAAGAGGAACAAAUCAUAACCAUGGCUUCGAGCCUGUUUUCACAUCCUUCCUCAUGCUUUCCUGAGUGCUCUUCUGAAGAAACAAAUGUAAGCCAAGAGUGAAAAUUGACGAUGGCUUUAACAGACUGCUUCACAUUUCCGGCAAAUAUUUUACAUUAGAAAAAUCCUUAGUGUGAAAUUUGUACCUAUUUACAAAACACAAAGCUAUUAUUUUGUUGUAUGUCAAUCCACAGGUUAAUUGUAUCUUCUACAAUCUAAUGGAUGAACAUUUAAUUAUUCUGCCUGAAACAAAACAUUGCUGACAUUGUUUGGAGUAAAUAAAUAAUUCUGGGAGCAAUUUUGUGAAAUGGAAUAAUUUCCUGGGCGGCACAGUGUAGAUGUGGUUAGCUUGGGUGGCGUGUGCAGGUUCUCCCAGUGCUUGCGUGGAUUUUCUCCGCGCUUGGACUGGACCAUCGCCAAAAAAAAAAAAUGAUAGUUGGCUACUCACACCCGCGCAGUUAGCGAUUUGAUCUAAGAACGCCCUGCGAUGUUAAACGACGAUCCACAUACAGUAUAUUGCGCUUUAUAACUUAAACCAUAAAAAGAGUAGCAGGAAAGAAGCAGACUGAAAUAUAAAGAUUCAUAAAUUUUGUCUUGCAGUACCACAGAUAUAAAGAGCCUGCAAAAGUUACGGGGGAAAAGAUGGAGUGUUACAAUAAUAAAGUUGGGUGAAUGAAAACAUUCCCACACCAAUGCAUAGACAACAGUCUGAGAGCAGAAGCUGCUGUCUCUUUAGAGACCUGCCACAUAUUGAUUGGGUAAUAUCCUUAAACAUAUAUUAUAUUAAAAAACAUAUGAUGAUGGAACCCAUCACUAAUUUUGAAAAAUCACAUUACAGUUUUCACACUGAUGAUGAUGAUGAU